This 440-nucleotide ribosomal RNA is filed under the name uncultured bacterium. Its description in RNAcentral is "partial 16S ribosomal RNA". It matches the Rfam family "Bacterial small subunit ribosomal RNA", at positions 338 to 795 of the family's 1533-position model. The record is from RNAcentral.
CCUACGGGAGGCAGCAGUGGGGAAUAUUGCACAAUGGGGGAAACCCUGAUGCAGCGACGCCGCGUGAGUGAAGAAGUAAUUCGUUAUGUAAAGCUCUAUCAGCAGGGAAGAAAAUGACUGUGCCUGAGUAAGCAGCCUCGGCUAACUACGUGCCAGCAGCCGCGGUCAGACGUAGGGGGCAAGCGUUAUCCGGAGUUACUGGGGGUAAAGGGAGCGUAGACGGCCGUGCAAGUCUGGAGUGAAAGGCGGGGGCUUAACCCGAGGACUGCAUGGGAAGCUGGGCGGCGGGAGUGCAGGAGAGGAGAGUGGAACUCCGAGUGGAGCGGUGAAAGGCGUAGAUAUUAGGAGGAACACCAGUGGCGAGGGCGGCUUACUGGACUGUAACUGACGCUGAGGUUCGAAAGCGUGGGUAGCAAACAGGAUUAGAUACCCGUGUAGUC